This 75-nucleotide transfer RNA is filed under the name Candidatus Woesearchaeota archaeon. RNAcentral's name for it is "tRNA-Met". It matches the Rfam family "tRNA". Rfam says of the family: Transfer RNA (tRNA) molecules are approximately 80 nucleotides in length. Lineage: Archaea; Nanobdellati; Candidatus Woesearchaeota. The record is from RNAcentral.
GCCUCAGUAGUUUAGACUGGUUAGAACACGAGUUUCAUAAGCUCGGGGUCGGGUGUUCAAAUCACCUCUGAGGCA